UUUCCGUAGGUGAACCUGCGGAAGGAUCAUUACCGAGUGAGGAUGCUUGUCAUCCAACCUCCCAUCCUUUGUCAAUUGACCUGGUUGCUUCGGCGUGGAGACCCUCCCGUCGGAAGCCAAUUCUUCAAAUUCUGAAUAAACUUGUUUGUCUAAAUCAUUUAAUAUUUUAAAUAAGCAAAACUUUCAACAACGGAUCUCUUGGUUCUGGCAUCGAUGAAGAACGCAGC
Molecule: unclassified non-coding RNA, 227 nt
Filed under: uncultured fungus
Lineage: Eukaryota; Fungi
Description: sequence contains ITS1, 5.8S rRNA gene
Rfam family: 5.8S ribosomal RNA (bases 179-227)
Source: RNAcentral